AAUAAGCGGAGGAAAAGAAACUAACAAGGAUUCCCCUAGUAACUGCGAGUGAAGCGGGAAAAGCUCAAAUUUAAAAUCUGGUGGUCUUUGGCCGCCCGAGUUGUAGUCUGGAGAAGUGCUUUCCGCGCUGGACCGUGUACAAGUCUCUUGGAACAGAGCGUCAUAGAGGGUGAGAAUCCCGUCUUUGACACGGACUACCAGUGCUUUGUGAUGCGCUCUCAAAGAGUCGAGUUGUUUGGGAAUGCAGCUCAAAAUGGGUGGUAAAUUCCAUCUAAAGCUAAAUAUUGGCGAGAGACCGAUAGCGAACAAGUACCGUGAGGGAAAGAUGAAAAGCACUUUGGAAAGAGAGUUAAACAGUACGUGAAAUUGCUGAAAGGGAAACACUUGAAGUCAGUCGCGUCGGCCGGAACUCAGCCUUGCUCUUYUGCUCGGUGCACUUUCUGGUUGACGGGCCAGCAUCGAUUUUGACCGUUGGAAAAAGGCUGGGGGAAUGUGGCACCUUCGGGUGUGUUAUAGCCCUCGGUCACAUACAACGGACGGGAUCGAGGAACUCAGCACGCCUUUAUGGCCGGGGUUCGCCCACGUUCGUGCUUAGGAUGCUGGCGUAAUGGCUUUAAAUGACCCGUCUUGAAACACGGACCAAGGAGUCUAACAUGCCUGCGAGUGUUUGGGUGGAAAACCCGAGCGCGUAAUGAAAGUGAAAGUUGAGAUCCCUGUCAUGGGGAGCAUCGACGCCCGGACCUGACCUUCUGUGACGGAUCUGCGGUAGAGCAUGUAUGUUGGGACCCGAAAGAUGGUGAACUAUGCCUGAAUAGGGUGAAGCCAGAGGAAACUCUGGUGGAGGCUCGUAGCGAUUCUGACGUGCAAAUCGAUCGUCAAAUUUGGGUAUAGGGGCGAAAGACUAAUCGAACCAUCUAGUAG
This 921-nucleotide ribosomal RNA is filed under the name Antrodia albobrunnea. RNAcentral's name for it is "eukaryotic LSU rRNA". It matches the Rfam family "Eukaryotic large subunit ribosomal RNA", at positions 45 to 950 of the family's 3401-position model. The record is from RNAcentral. Lineage: Eukaryota; Fungi; Basidiomycota; Agaricomycetes; Polyporales; Fomitopsidaceae.